This 66-nucleotide transfer RNA is filed under the name Macropanesthia heppleorum. RNAcentral describes it as "tRNA-Pro". It matches the Rfam family "tRNA". Rfam says of the family: Transfer RNA (tRNA) molecules are approximately 80 nucleotides in length. The record is from RNAcentral. Lineage: Eukaryota; Metazoa; Arthropoda; Insecta; Blattodea; Blaberidae.
CAGGGAAUAGUUUAUUAAUAAAAUAUUAAUUUUGGGAGUUAAUGAAGAGGGUAUCUUUUUCUCUGA